RNAcentral lists this ribosomal RNA (1503 nucleotides) under Klebsiella sp. FF2. RNAcentral's name for it is "bacterial SSU rRNA". It matches the Rfam family "Bacterial small subunit ribosomal RNA". The record is from RNAcentral. Lineage: Bacteria; Pseudomonadati; Pseudomonadota; Gammaproteobacteria; Enterobacterales; Enterobacteriaceae.
AGAGUUUGAUCCUGGCUCAGAUUGAACGCUGGCGGCAGGCCUAACACAUGCAAGUCGAGCGGUAGCACAGAGAGCUUGCUCUCGGGUGACGAGCGGCGGACGGGUGAGUAAUGUCUGGGAAACUGCCUGAUGGAGGGGGAUAACUACUGGAAACGGUAGCUAAUACCGCAUAAUGUCGCAAGACCAAAGUGGGGGACCUUCGGGCCUCAUGCCAUCAGAUGUGCCCAGAUGGGAUUAGCUAGUAGGUGGGGUAACGGCUCACCUAGGCGACGAUCCCUAGCUGGUCUGAGAGGAUGACCAGCCACACUGGAACUGAGACACGGUCCAGACUCCUACGGGAGGCAGCAGUGGGGAAUAUUGCACAAUGGGCGCAAGCCUGAUGCAGCCAUGCCGCGUGUGUGAAGAAGGCCUUCGGGUUGUAAAGCACUUUCAGCGGGGAGGAAGGCGGUGAGGUUAAUAACCUCAUCGAUUGACGUUACCCGCAGAAGAAGCACCGGCUAACUCCGUGCCAGCAGCCGCGGUAAUACGGAGGGUGCAAGCGUUAAUCGGAAUUACUGGGCGUAAAGCGCACGCAGGCGGUCUGUCAAGUCGGAUGUGAAAUCCCCGGGCUUAACCUGGGAACUGCAUUCGAAACUGGCAGGCUAGAGUCUUGUAGAGGGGGGUAGAAUUCCAGGUGUAGCGGUGAAAUGCGUAGAGAUCUGGAGGAAUACCGGUGGCGAAGGCGGCCCCCUGGACAAAGACUGACGCUCAGGUGCGAAAGCGUGGGGAGCAAACAGGAUUAGAUACCCUGGUAGUCCACGCCGUAAACGAUGUCGAUUUGGAGGUUGUGCCCUUGAGGCGUGGCUUCCGGAGCUAACGCGUUAAAUCGACCGCCUGGGGAGUACGGCCGCAAGGUUAAAACUCAAAUGAAUUGACGGGGGCCCGCACAAGCGGUGGAGCAUGUGGUUUAAUUCGAUGCAACGCGAAGAACCUUACCUGGUCUUGACAUCCACAGAACUUUCCAGAGAUGGAUUGGUGCCUUCGGGAACUGUGAGACAGGUGCUGCAUGGCUGUCGUCAGCUCGUGUUGUGAAAUGUUGGGUUAAGUCCCGCAACGAGCGCAACCCUUAUCCUUUGUUGCCAGCGGUUAGGCCGGGAACUCAAAGGAGACUGCCAGUGAUAAACUGGAGGAAGGUGGGGAUGACGUCAAGUCAUCAUGGCCCUUACGACCAGGGCUACACACGUGCUACAAUGGCAUAUACAAAGAGAAGCGACCUCGCGAGAGCAAGCGGACCUCAUAAAGUAUGUCGUAGUCCGGAUUGGAGUCUGCAACUCGACUCCAUGAAGUCGGAAUCGCUAGUAAUCGUAGAUCAGAAUGCUACGGUGAAUACGUUCCCGGGCCUUGUACACACCGCCCGUCACACCAUGGGAGUGGGUUGCAAAAGAAGUAGGUAGCUUAACCUUCGGGAGGGCGCUUACCACUUUGUGAUUCAUGACUGGGGUGAAGUCGUAACAAGGUAGCCGU